CUAUAAAAGAUGUAACAGAUGCAAACUGUAACACAAGGGCCGUUAACCCUUUCUCUGCCGCCCGGCACGUUCAGCCCCGGCACCCUACACCUAUUGUCCUCGGAGCUACCAGCUUUGCGGAAAACCUGGAA
Meriones unguiculatus (Mongolian gerbil) is the source of this 131-nucleotide unclassified non-coding RNA. NCBI's taxonomy places the organism in Eukaryota, Metazoa, Chordata, Mammalia, Rodentia, Muridae. The record is from Ensembl.